AUACUCUUGUUUCUCUUCAGAUCACAUAAGUCUUUUGCCUUUAACUAAAGAUUUUCAUGGAGAGGAACAAUUCUGAAUUUUGAACAAAUUUUUUGAAGACUUGUUCUUGCAAGGGG
Small nuclear RNA from Suncus etruscus (white-toothed pygmy shrew), 116 nucleotides. RefSeq annotates it as U5 spliceosomal RNA. The transcript has a single exon. Lineage: Eukaryota; Metazoa; Chordata; Mammalia; Eulipotyphla; Soricidae. The record is from RefSeq and is a predicted model, not a curated record.